This 497-nucleotide ribosomal RNA is filed under the name uncultured bacterium. RNAcentral's name for it is "partial 16S ribosomal RNA". It matches the Rfam family "Bacterial small subunit ribosomal RNA", at positions 28 to 507 of the family's 1533-position model. The record is from RNAcentral.
GAUGAACGCUGGCGGCGUGCCUAAUACAUGCAAGUCGAGCGAACAGACGAGGAGCUUGCUCCUCUGACGUUAGCGGCGGACGGGUGAGUAACACGUGGAUAACCUACCUAUAAGACUGGGAUAACUUCGGGAAACCGGAGCUAAUACCGGAUAAUAUAUUGAACCGCAUGGUUCAAUAGUGAAAGACGGUUUUGCUGUCACUUAUAGAUGGAUCCGCGCCGCAUUAGAUAGUUGGUAAGGUAACGGCUUACCAAGGCGACGAUGCGUAGCCGACCUGAGAGGGUGAUCGGCCACACUGGAACUGAGACACGGUCCAGACUCCUACGGGAGGCAGCAGUAGGGAAUCUGCCGCAAUGGGCGAAAGCAUGACGGAGCAACGCCGCGUGAGUGAUGAAGGUCUUCGGAUCGUAAAACUCUGUUAUUAGGGAAGAAAAAAUGUGUAAGUAACUAUGCACGUCUUGACGGUACCUAAUCAGAAAGCCACGGCUAACUACGUG